Molecule: ribosomal RNA, 468 nt
Filed under: uncultured bacterium
Lineage: Bacteria
Description: partial 16S ribosomal RNA
Rfam family: Bacterial small subunit ribosomal RNA
Source: RNAcentral
GACGAACGCUGGCGGCGUGCUUAACACAUGCAAGUCGAACGGAAAGGCCCUGCUUUUGUGGGGUGCUCGAGUGGCGAACGGGUGAGUAACACGUGAGUAACCUGCCCUUGACUUUGGGAUAACUUCAGGAAACUGGGGCUAAUACCGGAUAGGAGCUCCUGCUGCAUGGUGGGGGUUGGUAAGUUUCGGCGGUUGGGGAUGGACUCGCGGCUUAUCAGCUUGUUGGUGGGGUAGUGGCUUACCAAGGCUUUGACGGGUAGCCGGCCUGGGAGGGUGACCGGCCACAUUGGGACUGAGAUACGGCCCAGACUCCUACGGGAGGCAGCAGUGGGGAAUAUUGCACAAUGGGCGGAAGCCUGAUGCAGCAACGCCGCGUGCGGGAUGACGGCCUUCGGGUUGUAAACCGCUUUCGCCUGUGACGAAGCGUGAGUGACGGUAAUGGGUAAAGAAGCACCGGCUAACUACGUG